This 529-nucleotide long non-coding RNA is filed under the name Neodiprion lecontei (redheaded pine sawfly). RNAcentral describes it as "uncharacterized LOC124295600". The record is from RNAcentral. Lineage: Eukaryota; Metazoa; Arthropoda; Insecta; Hymenoptera; Diprionidae.
CUGUGAGCCGCCGCUUGGAGGGGAGCUGCGAAACGAUCGCAGCGCGCGGGGUGGCGAGUAGUGAGUUGAGCCAGCGUGUGUUGUGAUAGCAUUUUGUAUGAGAAACAAUAGACGGUAUGUGGAAUUACACUUGUUGUGUUGUUAACUGCAAAAAUAACGGUAAAACUAGUGAUUGUAUAUUUUACAAGUUUCCAACUGCAUCACAUAAAAUAGUUCAAAGGCAAAAAUGGAUUGCUGCUGUGAAAAGAAAAAAUGGAGUCCAAAAACUCAUCAUGUAAUAUGUAAUGCUCAUUUCAUUGGCAAGAAAAAAUCAGAUGAUCCUGCGAGUCCAAGCUACGCGCCAACUCUAUUCCCUCCAGUUUAUCAUGCAAAGCAAGUAAAUGAAAGAGCUGUUUUGAGCAGGUACAAUCGACUCAUGAACCGAAGAAAGACUCUUCACAAGCGUAACAUCGGAGUGAAUUGUGAUACUGGAAAUCAAGUUAAUAACGACCCCAACAAUGUUGUCAAUAAUAGUGGACGUGAACCUAUG